UACGGAGGGUGCGAGCGUUAAUCGGAAUUACUGGGCGUAAAGCGUACGUAGGCGGUUUGUUAAGUCGGAUGUGAAAUCCCCGGGCUCAACCUGGGUGCUGCAUUCGAUACUGGCAGACUUGAAUACGGUAGAGGGGGGUGGAAUUCCAGGUGUAGCGGUGAAAUGCGCAGAUAUCAGGAGGAACACCGGUGGCGAAGGCGGUUCUCUGGGCAUUACCUGACGCUGAGGAGCGAAAGUGUGGGGAGCGAACAGG
Molecule: ribosomal RNA, 253 nt
Filed under: uncultured bacterium
Lineage: Bacteria
Description: partial 16S ribosomal RNA
Rfam family: Bacterial small subunit ribosomal RNA
Source: RNAcentral